This 1733-nucleotide ribosomal RNA is filed under the name Escherichia coli. Its description in RNAcentral is "partial 23S ribosomal RNA". It matches the Rfam family "Bacterial large subunit ribosomal RNA", at positions 1 to 1774 of the family's 2925-position model. The record is from RNAcentral. Lineage: Bacteria; Pseudomonadati; Pseudomonadota; Gammaproteobacteria; Enterobacterales; Enterobacteriaceae.
GUUAAGCGACUAAGCGUACACGGUGGAUGCCCUGGCAGUCAGAGGCGAUGAAGGACGUGCUAAUCUGCGAUAAGCGUCGGUAAGGUGAUAUGAACCGUUAUAACCGGCGAUUUCCGAAUGGGGAAACCCAGUGUGUUUCGACACACUAUCAUUAACUGAAUCCAUAGGUUAAUGAGGCGAACCGGGGGAACUGAAACAUCUAAGUACCCCGAGGAAAAGAAAUCAACCGAGAUUCCCCCAGUAGCGGCGAGCGAACGGGGAGCAGCCCAGAGCCUGAAUCAGUGUGUGUGUUAGUGGAAGCGUCUGGAAAGGCGCGCGAUACAGGGUGACAGCCCCGUACACAAAAAUGCACAUGCUGUGAGCUCGAUGAGUAGGGCGGGACACGUGGUAUCCUGUCUGAAUAUGGGGGGACCAUCCUCCAAGGCUAAAUACUCCUGACUGACCGAUAGUGAACCAGUACCGUGAGGGAAAGGCGAAAAGAACCCCGGCGAGGGGAGUGAAAAAGAACCUGAAACCGUGUACGUACAAGCAGUGGGAGCACGCUUAGGCGUGUGACUGCGUACCUUUUGUAUAAUGGGUCAGCGACUUAUAUUCUGUAGCAAGGUUAACCGAAUAGGGGAGCCGAAGGGAAACCGAGUCUUAACUGGGCGUUAAGUUGCAGGGUAUAGACCCGAAACCCGGUGAUCUAGCCAUGGGCAGGUUGAAGGUUGGGUAACACUAACUGGAGGACCGAACCGACUAAUGUUGAAAAAUUAGCGGAUGACUUGUGGCUGGGGGUGAAAGGCCAAUCAAACCGGGAGAUAGCUGGUUCUCCCCGAAAGCUAUUUAGGUAGCGCCUCGUGAAUUCAUCUCCGGGGGUAGAGCACUGUUUCGGCAAGGGGGUCAUCCCGACUUACCAACCCGAUGCAAACUGCGAAUACCGGAGAAUGUUAUCACGGGAGACACACGGCGGGUGCUAACGUCCGUCGUGAAGAGGGAAACAACCCAGACCGCCAGCUAAGGUCCCAAAGUCAUGGUUAAGUGGGAAACGAUGUGGGAAGGCCCAGACAGCCAGGAUGUUGGCUUAGAAGCAGCCAUCAUUUAAAGAAAGCGUAAUAGCUCACUGGUCGAGUCGGCCUGCGCGGAAGAUGUAACGGGGCUAAACCAUGCACCGAAGCUGCGGCAGCGACGCUGAUGCGUUGUUGGGUAGGGGAGCGUUCUGUAAGCCUGCGAAGGUGUGCUGUGAGGCAUGCUGGAGGUAUCAGAAGUGCGAAUGCUGACAUAAGUAACGAUAAAGCGGGUGAAAAGCCCGCUCGCCGGAAGACCAAGGGUUCCUGUCCAACGUUAAUCGGGGCAGGGUGAGUCGACCCCUAAGGCGAGGCCGAAAGGCGUAGUCGAUGGGAAACAGGUUAAUAUUCCUGUACUUGGUGUUACUGCGAAGGGGGGACGGAGAAGGCUAUGUUGGCCGGGCGGCGGUUGUCCCGGUUUAAGCGUGUAGGCUGGUUUUCCAGGCAAAUCCGGAAAAUCAAGGCUGAGGCGUGAUGACGAGGCACUACGGUGCUGAAGCAACAAAUGCCCUGCUUCCAGGAAAAGCCUCUAAGCAUCAGGUAACAUCAAAUCGUACCCCAAACCGACACAGGUGGUCAGGUAGAGAAUACCAAGGCGCUUGAGAGAACUCGGGUGAAGGAACUAGGCAAAAUGGUGCCGUAACUUCGGGAGAAGGCACGCUGAUAUGUAGGUGAAGCGACUUGCUC